This is a non-coding RNA of Caenorhabditis elegans, 164 nucleotides long. The record is from Ensembl. NCBI's taxonomy places the organism in Eukaryota, Metazoa, Nematoda, Chromadorea, Rhabditida, Rhabditidae.
AAAGUUCGCUUUUUUAGGUGAAAAUCAGAGAAAAAAUCAAGGUUAAAGCCGAAAAAGACUAUCACAAAAAGUACUACUAGAGGGUAGGAUUAGUCCAUUGAUAAAAGACAAUCACACUAUCACUAAUAUCAAAGCGAACUCUAAAAAGCAACAUAACCUUCUGA